Molecule: non-coding RNA, 249 nt
Organism: Pimephales promelas (fathead minnow)
Lineage: Eukaryota; Metazoa; Chordata; Actinopteri; Cypriniformes; Leuciscidae
Source: RefSeq, a predicted model, not a curated record
AGGUUUCUUUGUCUCCUAUCUGUAUAUAACAGCAAAGUCAGAGUGCCGAAGUGAAAAAUCUGGUGCAGGUAAGUGUGCCGUUCUGUGUGCCUAUGACAGUGACUGUCCGAACAAUGAGAAAUGCUACAGCAAUGGACGUGGACGUCAGUGUAUGGCUCCAAAUACAGUUAAGUCUGUGCCCAAGCCUCCAGUGAUGCUUGCCGCCAAACUAUUCAAGCCUCCAAUGAAGCCCGCUGCUGAACUGUCCAU